Molecule: long non-coding RNA, 1344 nt
Organism: Pleuronectes platessa (European plaice)
Lineage: Eukaryota; Metazoa; Chordata; Actinopteri; Pleuronectiformes; Pleuronectidae
Exons: 3
Source: RefSeq, a predicted model, not a curated record
GUGAAGUCAGUGCCUCGACCUUUGAGCAGCGUCAGGAAGGUGAAGUGAGUCAGUUCCACCAAAUGACCUGUUCCUUUCUCUAACAACACACUGAGCCGUGCAGAGAGAAGAUCCUGAUCCACUCCAUCGGGGAGGAGCCGCUGGGUGUUCCUAAUAAAUCAGCCAAUCAGAUCCCUCUACCUGUGGAUCCAGGUGUUUGCUGAUGUGCUUCUCCAGGAAAGGACGAGCGAGGACAGAGCUGACCGAGGGACGGUCUCUGGGGUUCACCUGUAUAUUAUCAAAUCUAAAUGGUCAGUGAACAUCACAGAUCAUCUCAAAGUGAAGCAGAAGAUGGUCACGCACAUGAGAACAACAUGACAACAACAUGACAACAACAUGAGAACAACAUGAGAACAACAUGACAACAACAUGACAACAACAUGAGAACAACACGAGACGUGCGAUGCCGUGUUCCCUCACCUUGAAAUGAGGCAGAGAAGGACACGAUGUUGGGGUGUCUCAUCUCCGACAGCAGCGUCCCCUCUUUCCUGGACGCUUCCUGUUCCCUGGGGGACAUCUGAGCAGUGGACGCAGACAGAACGUGGACAUGAACAAACAGCUGGUUAACAACGGGUUCAUCUAAAUCUGAGGCUUCAUGUUCUUCAAUCUGUGUGAACCGUCAGGAACACCUGGAGGGACAGAAACUGCACAUUCAGCAAAACCUCCAAUAAGAACGAUACUUCUUGUUUUAUGAUUUUCUACUUGUUAAUAUUUCAUGAACUGAUCAAACCAUGGACACGUGUGCAGUGAGUCGGGUGGAGGAGCGGCGGGUGCGUUACCUUCCGGAGGUCGAUCUGUUUGACCACACACUGUCUGUCUCCACCCCUCUCUCGGACCAGGAAGGCUUUUCCAAACGCACCCUCUCCGAUCUGACGGACGACCUCAUAGUUGUUCAUCACCUGAAGAGACACAGAGGGGAAGGUUUGUUUGAGACGAGGUCAUCUUAAUGAGACACAUGAGACACAUGAGACACAUGAGACACAUGUCUGCUGUCUCAUGAAUCCACCUGAUUGGCCCACUACCCUCAGCUGCACCAAUCACUGUCCCUGGUUCAGCUUCUCUCUGAGCCUCCUGCAUAUCACUUUUUAUUUAUAGCUUCUAAUAAUAUUGCCUUCUCUCUCUAUAUAUAUAUAAUAUUGUAUUGUUUUGAAUUACUGUAUUGAAAAUGAAAUAUCCGUUUGCAAUUGAUGAUUAAAGAAAAUGAUGAUUCAAAAUUAAACAUGUAAAUAUUUAAAAUAGCAGCUAAAGACAGUGACUUCCAGACGGAGCCUAAGUGCUUUUCAAAAUAAUAUUCUGAUGAGUUAA